UUCUGGUUGAUCCUGCCGGAGGCUACCGCUAUUGGAGUUCGAUUAAGCCAUGCGAGUCGCGAGAAAUUAGAUUCUCGGCGUACCGCUCAGUAACACGUGGGUAACCUGCCCUAUGCUGGAUAAUAACCUCGGGAAACUGAGAAUAAUGAUCCAUAGUUCACUACGCCUGGAACGGUGAGUGGAUGAAAGCUCCGGCGGCAUAGGAUGGGCCUGCGGCGUAUCAGGUUGUAGGGGGUGUAACGUACCCUCUAGCCCUCUACGCGUACGGGUGUUGGGAGACAUAGCCCGGAGAUGGAUUCUGAGACACGAAUCCAGACCCUACGGGGUGCAGCAGGCGCGAAAACUUGGCAAUGCGAGAAAUCGUGACCAGGGAACUCCAAGUGCAUCGGGUAAGACCGGUGCUUUUCUUGACUCUAAAUAGGUCUUGGAAUAAGGGGUGGGUAAGGACGGUGCCAGCCGCCGCGGUAAUACCGGCGCCUCAAGUGGUAGUCGCUUUUAUUGGGCCUAAAACGUCCGUAGCCGGUCUGAUACAUUCGUGGGUAAAUCAACCAGCUCAACUGGUUGAAUUCUGCGAGGACGGUCAGACUUGGGACCGGGAGAGGUGUGGGGUACGCUCAGGGUAGGGGUAAAAUCCUGUCAUCCUGAGCGGACCACCUGUUGCGAAGGCGCCACACUAGAACGGAUCCGACGGUCAGGGACGAAGCCUAGGGGCACGAACCGGAUUAGAUACCCGGGUAGUCCUA
RNAcentral lists this ribosomal RNA (743 nucleotides) under uncultured Candidatus Poseidoniales archaeon. Its description in RNAcentral is "bacterial SSU rRNA". It matches the Rfam family "Archaeal small subunit ribosomal RNA", at positions 1 to 749 of the family's 1478-position model. Lineage: Archaea; Methanobacteriati; Thermoplasmatota; Candidatus Poseidoniia; Candidatus Poseidoniales. The record is from RNAcentral.